RNAcentral lists this unclassified non-coding RNA (328 nucleotides) under soil metagenome. RNAcentral's name for it is "partial contains 5.8S ribosomal RNA, internal transcribed spacer 2, and large subunit ribosomal RNA". The stretch from base 1 to 120 matches the Rfam family "5.8S ribosomal RNA", at positions 35 to 154 of the family's 154-position model. The record is from RNAcentral.
GAUGAAGAACGUAGCGAAAUGCGAUAAGUAAUGUGAAUUGCAGAAUUCAGUGAAUCAUCGAAUCUUUGAACGCACAUUGCGCCCCCUGGUAUUCCGGGGGGCAUGCCUGUCCGAGCGUCAUUACAACCCUCAAGCUCAGCUUGGUGUUGGGCCCCGCCGCCCCGGCGGGCCCUAAAGUCAGUGGCGGUGCCGUCCGGCUCCGAGCGUAGUAAUUCUUCUCGCUCUGGAGGUCCGGUCGUGUGCUCGCCAGCAACCCCCAAUUUUUUCCAGGUUGACCUCGGAUCAGGUAGGGAUACCCGCUGAACUUAAGCAUAUCAAAAGCGGAGGA